GCUGGAGUUUCCGCGCGUGAGCGCCCCGUGAUAGUGGAUCAGACUCGUGAGACCCCCGUAGGUGCUGCCCACAUCCUCACCAAACAGUUGAAACGUCCCUGGAAGACACUUCAGUUGUUAAGACUGAAAGAGUUAAGGCCGGGAAGGCCGAGAUGAUCUACUUGAUUCUCCAGGGUGGAAGCAGACCCCAGGCAUAUGUGAGAGACUCUGCCAUGACAAUGAGAAGCACUGGGGAGUGACAGCGGAGGAAGAAGCCCACUUGCCUCAGGAACCCGUGUUCCCUGGUGCAGCGCUGUGGAAAGUGCUUGCAAGGAACCAGUUGAGUUCAAAAAGAAGGGAAGACGCUGGGGACCAACAGGUGGUGUGGUGGUUAAGGCACUGGAUUUCCACAUGGCUGACUUCAAAGUCUCAUGAGAGACCCAGCUUGGAGAGGAGCUUGGGGAAAGUCAAGAGGGCCCUGUUCCCUUAUUGGCAAUAAUUUCCCCAUCUUCUCCUUCUGAGGCAUGUUAGUAGGGCAUAAAGGCAGCAGUGCUUAAUGAAUUGAACCAGGAGAUUCCCGGGAAGGACUGGAAAUGUAGUAUACAUAACAGGUUUCAGUGGUUAAGACCUCAGAUCUUUGAAAACCACAUGAGGUAGGCCCAUCUAUUGGUUUAGGAAAGCAACCCACCAUUCUGAUAUUUUGUCAAAACACUGCGAUUUUUUGAUUUUAUUGAAAUCUUUUUUUUUCAUUAUUAAUACAAAGAAUAAGCUUGUUUAUUGAAGAAUUUCUAAGAUGUUGGAAUGUCGGCAGAAAUGUAUUUCUCAAUUUGCACUUACUGUGUAAGGCGUAUCAAAUUGCUCAUGAAUUAAUAGGCUGACAGCAUUGUCAUUUCCCUCUGGGAUACUUUCACAGUUAGGGCAGGAGAAAGCUGAACACCAGAUGCUCUUCAACAUCUGAGAAGUUCUUAUCUUGGGACUUGUUCCUGAAGAUGUGAGAUUUACAUUGAAUUUAUAAGAACCAAAGCCACUGAAUUAAGUAGACAGGAAACUAUAUUCUAGAAUACGGUUGUAGAUCCCAGUAGUUGUGCCAAGAGUGUCUGCUGUGCUGAAUGAACCUUCCACUUAACUUCUUUCUCCAAUGAACUGACUCAGGACAUGCUGCUUCAUGGGCUGUAGCUACUUGUCAGGUCUAUGACUCAACAAACUGAAAUAUUAGCCAAAGGAAAGGUCAUUGCACAAUUGAGGCUGCUCACUCCGAACACAGCCAACUUGAACAUAAUCUCCUGAAGUCUCAAAUCUGCCAAUUUCCAGUCCACUAAGAGGAGCAGAAAUGAAGCAAAGGAGAAACAGUGACCUUGGCUACAGAGGACAACAGGAUGUCAGUAAACCCAAAGUCAUGCUGCUUUCCCUUUGCCAUUGAAUGACAGGCCCAUGACAGACUUAUGUAAACAUGAAAUGGAAAAGAGUUUUUCAAAGACAACUUCUUUGUGCCAAGUAUUUCCUGGCUUUCUUCUGGUCUGACCUGAGUGAUGAUAACUUUAGAGUCUAGCUUGUCUACUUUUCUUGCGAGUUAGAGUCAAGGAGAAUUCAUUUCAUGGAAAGGCCAAGUUCUGAGAAGCAAGACUGGGAAUGAGUGAGCAUCCAGGGCAGGGUGAGAACAGGAAGUGUUUCACUGACACUCCACCACCACCACCACCCCCGCCCCCAACCACUUCAGAGCCCAGUAUUCACCUUCACGGAAGGAAAAGUAAUUGUCAUCUGUUGCCAGAGGUGGCUGGCACUUGAGGGGUGUCCCAGUUCACUUUAUUUAAUUAAUUAAUUCAUUUUGUUAUAGGGAGCAUGUGCUCACCUGAGAGACAAACAGAGC
Long non-coding RNA from Tupaia belangeri chinensis (Chinese tree shrew), 1846 nucleotides. RefSeq lists it as uncharacterized. NCBI's taxonomy places the organism in Eukaryota, Metazoa, Chordata, Mammalia, Scandentia, Tupaiidae. The transcript is spliced from 5 exons. The record is from RefSeq and is a predicted model, not a curated record.